AGAGUUUGAUCCUGGCUCAGAAUGAACGUUGGCGGCGUGGAUUAGGCAUGCAAGUCGAACGGACCUGGUUUUCGGAUCAGGUCAGUGGCGUAAGGGUGAGUAAGGCGACGGCAACCAACCCCAUGGUUGGGCAUAACCGCGGGAAGCUGCGGAUAAUACCCAGCGAUGUUCGUGUCGGGCAUCCGAUGUGAACCAAAGUUUCGACGCCGUGGGACGGGCCGUCGUGGUAUUAGGUUGUUGGCGGGGUAAUGGCCCACCAAGCCUUUGAUGCCUACCGGGCGUGCGAGCGUGGCCCGGCACACUGGGACUGAGACACUGCCCAGACUCCUACGGGAGGCUGCAGUCGAGGAUCUUCGGCAAUGGGCGCAAGCCUGACCGAGCGACGCCGCGUGGAGGAUGAAGGCCUUCGGGUUGUAAACUCCUGUCGAGGGGGAGGAAGGCGCAAGCUUGACCUAUCCCUGGAGGAAGCACGGGCUAAGUUCGUGCCAGCAGCCGCGGUAAGACGAACCGUGCGAACGUUAUUCGGAAUCACUGGGCUUAAAGCGCGUGUAGGCGGAUGGGGACGUCGGUUGUUGAAAGCCCCCGGCUUAACCGGGGAACUGGCGCCGAAACGCCCUGUCUUGAGGAGCGUAGGGGGACCUGGAACUUCCGGUGGAGCGGUGAAAUGCGUUGAGAUCGGAAGGAACGCCCGUGGCGAAAGCGAGGUCCUGGACGUUAUCUGACGCUGAGACGCGAAAGCUAGGGGAGCGAACGGGAUUAGAUACCCCGGUAGUCC
Molecule: ribosomal RNA, 775 nt
Filed under: uncultured bacterium
Lineage: Bacteria
Description: bacterial SSU rRNA
Rfam family: Bacterial small subunit ribosomal RNA
Source: RNAcentral